GAUAAGAACGUAGCAAAAUGCGAUAAGUAAUGUGAAUUGCAGAAUUCAGUGAAUCAUCGAAUCUUUGAACGCACAUUGCGCCCGCCAGUAUUCUGGCGGGCAUGCCUGUUCGAGCGUCAUUUCAACCCUCAAGCACAGCUUGGUGUUGGGACUCGCGUUAAUUCGCGUUCCUCAAAUUGAUUGGCGGUCACGUCGAGCUUCCAUAGCGUAGUAGUAAAACCCUCGUUACUGGUAAUCGUCGCGGCCACGCCGUUAAACCCCAACUUCUGAAUGUUGACCUCGGAUCAGGUAGGAAUACCCGCUGAACUUAAGCAUAUCAAUAAGCGGAGGA
RNAcentral lists this unclassified non-coding RNA (331 nucleotides) under soil metagenome. Its description in RNAcentral is "partial contains 5.8S ribosomal RNA, internal transcribed spacer 2, and large subunit ribosomal RNA". The stretch from base 4 to 119 matches the Rfam family "5.8S ribosomal RNA", at positions 39 to 154 of the family's 154-position model. The record is from RNAcentral.